Beta vulgaris subsp. vulgaris (sugar beet) is the source of this 1489-nucleotide RNA transcript. RefSeq lists it as uncharacterized. Lineage: Eukaryota; Viridiplantae; Streptophyta; Magnoliopsida; Caryophyllales; Amaranthaceae. The record is from RefSeq and is a predicted model, not a curated record. The transcript is spliced from 3 exons.
UAACUUUAGUAUUCAGAAGAAAAAAAACGGUAAAAGAAAAAACAUUCAUACUCUAUUCUAAAAAUCCCUAAUUUCAUUUACUUUCAUCACAUCUCUAGAUCUCCCUCUUCGUCCCAGGUCUCAGUAGAAGAGAGAAGAACCGCCUGAAGUUUGUGGGCAAACCUACCCCAAAUUCAUUCGCCGGCUACCUUCACCAGUCCCCAUGAAUUCACCGGUCAUUUCCUUCGCCAGUCUGCUCGUCUUCGUGCGAAUUCCGUCCCUAUUCCAAGCAACUUUGUUCUAUUACCACCACGCCACUGCCUAUCACUAUCACGCCAUUUCAUCGCCAAUCGAAAAUCAUUCCGGUGGGCAAUGUCUAUAUUCAGUAUCUGGAAGAAGAGCAAGUUGCUCAUGCUCUUCGUAAUUUGACUAGGAGACUAUAUUCUGGUAAGAUUCUUUCUGAUGGUGAAUAUUCUGUUUUGGAAGCCUUUUUAAAAAAAUCUUAGAGUUUAACUCAAUGCAAUUGUACCUGCAAUGUGCAUUGUAGGCCGUCCCAUCAUUGUCGAUUUCUCUCCAGUCACAGAUUUUCGUGAAGCCACUUGCAGGCAAUAUGAAGAGAACACUUGCAAUCGUGGUAGUUAUUGUAACUUCAUGCAUCUGAAGAAGAUUAACAGGUAAACUCAAUGGUGAUUUAUUAAGACUGUUUCAUUAAUAUUUAGUGCUGAAACAUGUGUUGGUUUCAUUACUUUUAUGUGGUUAGAGAGUUGUGAAGUCAGCUAUUCGGGAGGUAUAGGAGAUGACAUAGCACAAGCCAAAGCAUAAGCCCAUUCAGACACAAAAGCUAUGAUUAUGACAAUCGCCACCAUGGGCAUAGUCAUAGUAGCAAAACAUAUGGUAAUAGGGAUAGCUAUUAUGAGAGUCGGAGCACGAGACAUAAGAGCAGUAGUACUCACAAGCAUGGAAGAGGCAGAAGUCCUGCUGGUAGGAGAGAUAGAAGCCCCAUUAGGGAAGGAAGCAAAGAGAAGCGUGCAAAAAUUGAGCAAUGGAAUAGAGAAAAGGAAGAAGCUGAACAAGCUGCUAUGACAUAGAUUGAUACUGACAACAACAAUGAUGGUUAUCAUAAUAAAGCUGCACCGUAUGGUGCAGAGAACUAUGGUUACCAGCAGCCAAUACCACAGAGUCAGGAGGGAUAUGGAUAUUGAUCAACUUAUGGCAUGUACUUGGCAGAGCUCAUACGCACAAGCAUAAACAAGCUGGAGGAGGAGGAAUUUUGAGAUAAUAUAUAUUUUUACUUGUUAUAUAACAUAUUGCUUGAAAUUUUAGGAGCUAUAUUUUUAAGUUUGUGCACAUGAAUCGGAAGGAACAGGCCUAGGUGCUCUAUUUUUUUUAUAUAUAAUUUAGUUGAUUUUUGGAAUCUUCUAACAUUAUAUUGAUAUACAUGGGAUUUUGUAGUGAAUGAUAUUAAUGAAUGAAAAGGUAUUCAAUUAUAAAAUCAUUUGAAUUAUCUCAA